AAGGAGCGUCUGGCUGGUCUGUCCCGUUGGGGGUGGGCUGGUCCAGGGCCAGGGCCGGAUGUGUAUGCCGGUCUGGUUGCUCGAGGGUGUGGACGCUGAUGAUGUGGCUGCCUGCUUGUCUGGUGCCUAGUACUCCUGCUUUUGGGUGGGGUGGAACGGGGCUGGGUGGUGUGGGUGGUCCGUGGCGCGCUGUUGGGUCCUGAGGGAGUCAGGCCGGUUGUGGCUUGAACUUUCUUGAUCCGCUUUUUGUGGGUGCCCCUGUCCUCCUGUGUGGGGGGUGGGGGUGUUCCGCGAGGGUGGUGCGGGCUGGUCGUCGCGGGAUACUGCCUUCUUUUGUGGGGGUGAGUUCCGCUGGUGCGGCUGGUUGCCGUCCGUACGUUGAGAACUGCACAGUGGACGCGAGCAUCUUUGU
Molecule: unclassified non-coding RNA, 412 nt
Filed under: uncultured Frankia sp.
Lineage: Bacteria; Bacillati; Actinomycetota; Actinomycetes; Frankiales; Frankiaceae
Description: 16S-23S ribosomal RNA intergenic spacer
Source: RNAcentral